UACAGAGGUCCCAAGCGUUGUUCGGAUUCACUGGGCGUAAAGGGUGCGUAGGUGGCCAGGUAAGUUCGAUGUGAAAUCUCCGGGCUUAACCCGGAAAGUGCAUUGAAUACUAUCUGGCUAGAGGGUUGGAGGGGGGACUGGAAUUCUCGGUGUAGCAGUGAAAUGCGUAGAUAUCGAGAGGAACACCAGUGGCGAAGGCGGGUCUCUGGGCCGAUACUGACGCUGAGGAGCGAAAGCGUGGGGAGCGAACAGG
Molecule: ribosomal RNA, 253 nt
Filed under: uncultured bacterium
Lineage: Bacteria
Description: partial 16S ribosomal RNA
Rfam family: Bacterial small subunit ribosomal RNA
Source: RNAcentral